GACGAACGCUGGCGGCGUGCCUAAUACAUGCAAGUAGAACGCUGAAGGAGGAGCUUGCUUCUCUGGAUGAGUUGCGAACGGGUGAGUAACGCGUAGGUAACCUGCCUGGUAGCGGGGGAUAACUAUUGGAAACGAUAGCUAAUACCGCAUAAGAGUAGAUGUCGCAUGACAUUUGCUUAAAAGGUGCAAUUGCAUCACUACCAGAUGGACCUGCGUUGUAUUAGCUAGUUGGUGGGGUAACGGCUCACCAAGGCGACGAUACAUAGCCGACCUGAGAGGGUGAUCGGCCACACUGGGACUGAGACACGGCCCAGACUCCUACGGGAGGCAGCAGUAGGGAAUCUUCGGCAAUGGACGGAAGUCUGACCGAGCAACGCCGCGUGAGUGAAGAAGGUUUUCGGAUCGUAAAGCUCUGUUGUAAGAGAAGAACGAGUGUGAGAGUGGAAAGUUCACGCGGGGACGGUAUCUACCAGAA
Molecule: ribosomal RNA, 475 nt
Filed under: Streptococcus mitis
Lineage: Bacteria; Bacillati; Bacillota; Bacilli; Lactobacillales; Streptococcaceae
Description: bacterial SSU rRNA
Rfam family: Bacterial small subunit ribosomal RNA
Source: RNAcentral